This 333-nucleotide ribosomal RNA is filed under the name uncultured eukaryote. Its description in RNAcentral is "partial 18S ribosomal RNA". It matches the Rfam family "Eukaryotic small subunit ribosomal RNA", at positions 1470 to 1796 of the family's 1831-position model. The record is from RNAcentral.
CCCUUAGAUGUUCGGGGCCGCACGCGCGCUACACUGAAUGGAUCAACGUGCCUUUCCCGAGGCUGAAAAGUCGAGGUAAUCCGUUGAACCCCAUUCGUGACGGGGAUAGGAGCUUGCAAUUAUUCUCCUUGAACGAGGAAUUCCCAGUAAGCGCGAGUCAUCAGCUCGCGUUGAUUACGUCCCUGCCCUUUGUACACACCGCCCGUCGCUACUACCGAUUGGAUGGUUUAGCGAGAACUUUGGACCGGAGCUCGGGUGGUCAGCAAUGGCCGCCCGAGACAUACUGGGAAAUCGCUCCAGCUUGAUCAUCUAGAGGAAGUAAAAGUCGUAACA